UACCGGGGGCGCACUGGUGCCCUGGCUGGCUGAGGAGCCGGAUUAAGGCACUUCCAUGGGGACAGCAGCAGCCCAGCAUGCGGCCUGGGCCGUGAUGCGCACGCGCCCACGUUCCGGGGCGGUGACGGGCACGCACACACGUUCCAGGGCGCCCCAGGGCCACGCGCGGCUCCUGGGGAGGAGACAGGAUCUCAACAGCAGGGGAAGACACGGGAGGUGCUCUCUGGCUCCUAAGACAGCAUUUCUGUCUAUAAAUGGCCUGUCCAAGGAGUUUCAGGAGGAGGAGCCUAAAGUACGGUGACACAACAGCCAAGAGCACUACUGAGACAGUGAAAGAACCGGUGAAUUCCUCAUCCUCCGGCCAGCCAAGAGUUAUGGUCUAUACAAACCCUCUGACAGAUUGUUUCACUGAGUUAACUUGCACAUGUCCAUAUAACCACAGUGCGUGGAGUGGAAAACAAUUGUAUGCAAGAGCCUGCUAGGCACUCUGGGUUGUCACAGCAGGCAGAGUGACCUCCUGAUCUCCAUUGUUGAAGGGUUUCGGAAAACAAUGAAACAAUGCCCACAAAGAGAGAGUGUUAUUGCCAGUGUGCCGGGACGCCUUCAUCACCCUCAGAUGCACGCGCCAUCCCAGGCAAAACAGUGCACAAACAGAGACCUUUUUCCAAAUCAUCCAGGAAGGGAUGGCAUGAGCCUUUGGCUUUGAGAAAAGAUUAUUAAGCAGUAAAAACCAUAAUUCAAAAGGACUGUUGUGAAGAUUAGACACGGAUAUGGAGGAAAGCACAGUGCCGGCCACAUGUCCUGUCUUACCUCAGGGCCACAUGUGGAAAGGCUGGAUUGCGUCUGUAUGCCCUAAGUGGCCAUGCUUUCCUUGGCCUGUGGAACAAUAGUGAGCAGGCUGUCGGGGGACACAUCUCUGGAGCCCAUUCUACCGACUGCUAGCUAUGUGAGGCCUGCUAAGGAAGGCUUUUCACCGGCCUUAGCUUCUUCAUCUGGAAAAUGAGGAACUCUGGCUUACGACCUCAAAAGCUGUUGUGAGGAUUCAGGGAGUUAACAAACACGACAGCACCGAGCACAGGACGUGCAUCUAGAAAAAAAGUUAAGAAAUCUUUUCUACUUCUCUGUGCACGUGUCUACCUGUCCAGUCUGCUACCCAUUCAAUAAGAAUAAAAUCAAUAUUCAGAAUAUCAGCCCUGUGUUUUGGUUUAUCACUGUGAGACCAGAACCACAAUGUUCUGAUUGGCAGAAUCUCUUACUUGUGUCCCAGUUUAGCAGAGGUGUACUGAAGUCUUUCUGUGGGGAACAGUUUUCUUUAAGUGCCAGUGCUCAGAGUAAGGGUGGGUCAGAAUAUGGUCACAUUUAUGAUAAAUACCCUCCCUUGCUUCCUUUCGGUAAUGUUGGCUGUCUUGCCCGGGCAGAAGACUGGGAGACAGUGGGUGUAGUGCCACAAUGAGGGGAGAGAAAGAGAAGCCAAGCAAAGCUCAGACACCCUGGGAAGGGCCCUAGGAAAACAAGAACCCGCAAGUUCUGGCUGGUGGGAUGGUAGAUUUGAAAUUAUCCCAAGAAAAAUAAAACAAAAUAAUAAAAAAUAUAAACAAAUAAAAUUAUCCCAAGAGAGAUGUUGGAAAGGGUCAAAACAGAGAAAGGAAGGACACUGAGCCUGGCCAGGGAUCCCAUCACACGAUAUCACACCUUUUCAUGUGAGACCUAACAAAGGGGACAGGGCUCACCGACAUUCGAUGGGGGUAAGAAAGGCAGCUGAACUGAGUUUCAGGCUAACGGUUAACAAAAAAAUCAACUACCCAUCUCCCAGUUCCCCUAGUUCUAAAUAGAAGGUAAGCCUUUUGUUAAAUAUCACACAUGCGUCUUUGUUUCAUCUGCUCUGGGUCCCCUUGUUUUCAGCAAUUCCCUUGCCAGGACUGAAGUGCCUCUACAUCUGUACAACUAGUCCCCACAAUGCCUGGUGAUAGGCUCUUCUCUUGG
Molecule: long non-coding RNA, 1983 nt
Organism: Lutra lutra (Eurasian river otter)
Lineage: Eukaryota; Metazoa; Chordata; Mammalia; Carnivora; Mustelidae
Exons: 7
Source: RefSeq, a predicted model, not a curated record